This 486-nucleotide ribosomal RNA is filed under the name Bacillus subtilis. Its description in RNAcentral is "bacterial SSU rRNA". It matches the Rfam family "Bacterial small subunit ribosomal RNA", at positions 395 to 871 of the family's 1533-position model. The record is from RNAcentral. Lineage: Bacteria; Bacillati; Bacillota; Bacilli; Caryophanales; Bacillaceae.
CGCCGCGUGAGUGAUGAAGGUUUUCGGAUCGUAAAGCUCUGUUGUUAGGGAAGAACAAGUACCGUUCGAAUAGGGCGGUACCUUGACGGUACCUAACCAGAAAGCCACGGCUAACUACGUGCCAGCAGCCGCGGUAAUACGUAGGUGGCAAGCGUUGUCCGGAAUUAUUGGGCGUAAAGGGCUCGCAGGCGGUUUCUUAAGUCUGAUGUGAAAGCCCCCGGCUCAACCGGGGAGGGUCAUUGGAAACUGGGGAACUUGAGUGCAGAAGAGGAGAGUGGAAUUCCACGUGUAGCGGUGAAAUGCGUAGAGAUGUGGAGGAACACCAGUGGCGAAGGCGACUCUCUGGUCUGUAACUGACGCUGAGGAGCGAAAGCGUGGGGAGCGAACAGGAUUAGAUACCCUGGUAGUCCACGCCGUAAACGAUGAGUGCUAAGUGUUAGGGGGUUUCCGCCCCUUAGUGCUGCAGCUAACGCAUUAAGCACUCCG